AUCUGUGGCCAUCUCACCCUGAACAAGCCUUAUGUCUGAUCUUGGAAGCUAAGCAGGGUCAGGCCUGGUUAGUACUUGGAUGGGAGACCACCUAGGAAGACCAGAUGCUGUAGGCA
Molecule: non-coding RNA, 116 nt
Organism: Pteropus alecto (black flying fox)
Lineage: Eukaryota; Metazoa; Chordata; Mammalia; Chiroptera; Pteropodidae
Source: Rfam